This 301-nucleotide ribosomal RNA is filed under the name uncultured bacterium. RNAcentral's name for it is "partial 16S ribosomal RNA". It matches the Rfam family "Bacterial small subunit ribosomal RNA", at positions 509 to 807 of the family's 1533-position model. The record is from RNAcentral.
CAGCAGCCGCGGGAAUACGAAGGGGGCUAGCGUUGCUCGGAAUGACUGGGCGUAAAGGGCGCGUAGGCGGAUCACGCAGUCAGAUGUGAAAUUCCUGGGCUUAACCUGGGGGCUGCAUUUGAGACGCGUGGUCUAGAGUGUGAAAGAGGGUCGUGGAAUUCCCAGUGUAGAGGUGAAAUUCGUAGAUAUUGGGAAGAACACCGGUGGCGAAGGCGGCGACCUGGUUCAUGACUGACGCUGAGGCGCGAAAGCGUGGGGAGCAAACAGGAUUAGAUACCCGCGUAGUCCCUGUCUCUUAUAC